RNAcentral lists this long non-coding RNA (3645 nucleotides) under Salmo salar (Atlantic salmon). RNAcentral describes it as "lncRNA (ENSSSAG00000112874.1)". Lineage: Eukaryota; Metazoa; Chordata; Actinopteri; Salmoniformes; Salmonidae. The record is from RNAcentral.
GUAUUAAGUGCCAUGACCAAUUAAUAUGCACAUAUACUCUAACUAUUCCCUGGGGAAGUGGUUAGCGCUACCUUGGAAAAUAGUUAAUAGAAGGUGUUUUUUUAGAGACGGAAGUGAAGAAGAUCUAAACACUGGAUACCGUCCGGGGAAGCGUCAGAAUAAUAACUAUUGAAAUGGCGACCGGCGGACCCAAUGCUCCCGGUAAAGUGGGGGUAGAGGAAGAGAAGUUUAAUAGAGCCAUAAAGGCGCUGAAAAAGUCGCACGGACAUUAUACCAAUUCGCCUCGAAUAUGGGAGAAAAAAAUUUGCAAACUGGAUCAAAUUGGUCAGCAUUUCCCGGCUAACGAAAAAUUCCAAUCUAAUAGAGAAUUCAGGGAGGCAAUUGUGACUUGGCACAAUGACAAAACCAGAAUCAAAAGCUCAAUGUACCAUUGUUUUGAUGUCUGCAUUCUAUCAACAAAAAAUACAAACCGAUAAACCCAGAAUUAGUGGAUGUACUCAGCUACAGAAGGACUGGGUACGUAAGUACAUUGAUAGAAUUUGUACAUUGGCUUUGAUGUCAGGUUUGAAACCUGUGAUCAAAACAGCAAUUGCGGUGGUAGUGGAUGAAAUAGAGCAGAAAGCUAAUUCCGCAGAUGUACGAGUGGUUAAUGCAGCCAGAGUGAAAGUCAUUAACAGUGGUUUCAAUGGCCCAAGUAAGACAAGGAAAUGGGGAGGAAAGGGGAAAUCAAGAGUCCUGUUUUAGGUGUGGGGCUGUUGGUCAUUGGAAAAGGGAGUGUAAGGUAGGAAUGGAGCCCUGUGCAUUCGGGAGGGAUACUGCGAUGCAAAAAUGUGCAUCUUUGUCAAAACAAAAGUAACAUCCUUUUUGAAAACAGCGGGACAGGAAGAUGUUACAUAGCAGUGAAUGGCCUCGGUUGGAUUGAUAGUGGUUCAUAGACAUUACAGUUUCUAUGUGAAGUGAGACGUAGGAGCCCACGUCUCAAGCAACUUUUUAAUAGAUGCCAGGGAUCAAAUAUCGCGGAUUCCUUAUGAUGAGAAAUUGGCUAACAUUGCCAUAGGAAAAAGUAUUUUGGGUUGAAGAAUCUAUGCGAAAUUUCAAGGGAAUGGAUUCUAAAGAGGUAAAAAAAUAUUAUCUGGCCAAACACUCCUUGCCAACUCAGAAAAGCUUGGGGGGGGGGGUUUAAUCUCGUGAGACGUUUUAUUAUGAAUUUACAUUUUGUCGUCUUAUUCUGAAAUUGAUUUAUAGAAGGGACGAACGGGAGGAGGGGUCACCAAACCUAAAAUGAACUUUUUUGUUGUUCAUGAACAUUGUGGUGCUGUGGUUAUGGAGAAUCAUGGGGAAAAGAGAGCAGUGACUCGUUAGACUCGGUGGCGGGAUAAUGUCGCAGUGUCUAAGGGUAGUACGUGCCAAAUAAAGGAUAAAUAAACGAUGGGGUAGAUUAAAACAAAUGUAAUGAUUGGAGUAAGGACAGUGGAUUUACCAUUAUCAUGUUUGGUUUAUUAUUAUUAAUACUUUUGGAUUGCUGAUCAAAAUGUACACUUUCUUUUCCAUGAAAAUGAGGGGGGUUCAUUAUCUCCCUUUGGAAUGUUCCCCGAGACUGUGGUAUUGGGGAGAGCAGUUAGUGAUAUUUGGCCGUUUUAAGUAUAAAAGUAUCUGGAUUAGGCCAUAAACGGAGUUGCCAGAUAAGGCCUGACCACGUGUGUGUUUUUGACUUCCGGUUUACCACACACACAUCAGCACGCACACACAAUUUAUCAGUUGUGAAUAUGGGUUAGUGGUGUUGAUACCGUGGGAUUUAUUGUGAGGGGUCUUUACAACUUGGUUUUAAAUUGGGUAUGCAGAAGGAUGGAAAUGUUUGAAAUGUUUUUAAAUGGUUUCUGAAGGACAGGGAAAGAAAAGGGAAAGGAAAUUCUUAAUGGUGUUGAAUGACCUGUGUCCUGACUUUCUGGUGAAGCCUGAUCAACCUCACUAGAAAUGAUCGAGACAGGGGAAAUGACCAGUUCCCUGGGGCCCUGGUCCUUGGAUUGGAUCUGCUGGAUUGUUGGGAUUCCCCCCAUGAGUUAGAGUGCUAACUCCCUGAUCUGGUAACUCUUCUGAGAAGUCGCCAGUAAAAUAAGACAAUGACCCAACACACCUCCAGGCUGUGUAAGGGCUAUUUGACCAAGAAGGAGAGUGAUGGAGUGCUGCAUCAGAUGACCUAGCCUCCACAAUUACCUGACCUCAAUCCAAUUGAUAUGGUUUGGGAUGAGGUGGACUGCAGAGAGAAGGAAAAGCAGCCAACAAGUGUUCAGCAUAUGUGGGAACUCCUUCAAGACUGUUGGAAAAGCAUUCCAGGUGAAACUGGUUGGGAGAAUACCAAGAGAGCAAAGCUGUCAUCAAGGCAAAGAAUGGCUACUUUGAAGAACCCAAUAUAUAAAAUAUGAUUUGAUUUAUUUAACUUUUUUGGUUACUACAUGAUUCCAUAUGUGUAUUCCAUAGUUUGUCUUCUGUCUCAGCCUCCAGUAUUUAUGCUGCAGUAGUUUGUGUCGGGGGGCUAGGGUCAGUCUGUUACAUCUGGAGUAUUUCUCUUGUCUUAUCCGGUGUCCUGUGUGAAUUUAAAUAUGCUCUCUCUAAUUCUCUCUUUCUGUCUUUCUCUCGGAGGACCUGAGCCCUAGGACCAUGCCUCAGGACUACCUGGUAUGAUGACUCCUUGCUGUCCCCAGUCCACCUGGCCGUGCUGCUGCUCCAGUUUCAACUGUUCUGCCUGCGGCUAUGGAACCCAGACCUGUUCACCAGACGUGCUUGUUGCACCCUCGACAACUACUAUGAUUAUUAUUAUUUGACCAUGCUGGUCAUUUAUGAACAUUUUAACAUUUUAACAUUUUGACCAUGUUCUGUUAAUAUCCACCCUGCACAGCCAGAAGAGGACUGGCCACCCCUCAUAGCCUGGUUCCUCUCUAGGUUUCUUCCUAGGUUUUUGGCCUUUCUAGGGAGUUUUUCCUAGGGAGUUUUUCCUAGCCACCGUGCUUCUUUCACAUGCUUUGCUUGCUGUUUGGGGUUUUAGGCUGGGUUUCUGUACAGCACUUUGAGAAUAUCAGCUGAUGUACGAAGGGCUAUAUAAAAAUAAAUUUGAUUUGAUUUGAUUCACUAUUAUUCUACAAUGUAGAAAAUAGUAAAAAUAAAGAAAAACCCUUAAAUGAGUAGGUGUGUCCAAACUUUUGACUGGAACUGUAUAAAUAUGUGUAUGUAUAGCUCAAUCGUCUUGUUUUAGGGGUCUCAUGUUCUUGGUUUAAAAAAAUGAAACAAGUGGGGUUUGUGAUGUUGAGCUCAGUGUUGUGUGCGGGGGCAGUUCAGUGGAAUUAGUGACUUGACCAGAGACCAACCACAUUUUUGCUCAGUUGGGUGGGAUUUCCUGUUUUGUGACAGUUUACUUCUCUUCUCUGUCAUGAAAAUGCUAAUACCAGAAAGUGUCUAGAAGAUCACACAUUGACCUUUUGUACAUGGCAGUAUUAUUGCCAGAAAAUUGUAAUUUAACUCUCAAUGUUGGUUCAUCAGAAUUUUGUUUUGCUCAUCCACCAUAGUGUAACUUAAAAACAGUUAAAUCUGGGGUAAAUAUUGCAAUAAUUUACUACCAAGUGUUGGUGAGAAUCCUAGCUGAUAUUGGAG